This is a long non-coding RNA of Homo sapiens (human), 1943 nucleotides long. Ensembl annotates it as downregulated RNA in cancer, inhibitor of cell invasion and migration. Its record names the gene DRAIC. The record is from Ensembl. NCBI's taxonomy places the organism in Eukaryota, Metazoa, Chordata, Mammalia, Primates, Hominidae.
CCUCUACACCCUGUUGCAUUGCGGGCAUGGCCUCCGGAAAAGUCAAGCAUGGCGAAAGGAAGCGUGGCCCAGAGCUGGCACGCCACAGGAAGAGGGCUGGAGACACACUUGCUGUUCUUUUGGGAAAAGAGGCAUGGUAGUCAAACAAUAGGAUUGAGGAGCAUUUGCAGAGUCAGCUGUCUUCUCCAGCCACAGCACGCAUGUUCCACCCUAGCUGGGGCAGAACUGUGGGCUGGCCUGGCUGUGAGCCUUGUGGGACUACGAGAAGCCUCCAGCUUAGGACUCAGAGUCUCAGAUGCCCCAGGAGAGAGGAGGAGACUGGAGAGGCCAGCACGCACAGUGACUUAAUCCAAGAAGGUAGAUCGGAUAUUGACUUGGAGAGGUCUUGGAGAAAGGCUGAUGAAGGUGAUCGACAGCCUAAAUCUCUGAAGCCGUCUCCUGAUGCAACCUCUGACCCAACAAUCUCUGGGUCUUGCUGUUAUCAGCUCCAUCAGUUUUACUGGAUGGAAUAAAAAGGCCUACCUCAUUGGGCUCGUGUGGGUGAGGAGAACUGAAGAGUCUGAGAGCGCGGCACGAGCCAGAGGCUACGGAAAACACUGCCCUCCUACACUCCACCUUGGAGAGACCCAGAAAAGAACAAGCUUCAUUUGUAAAAAAGGAAAACAACUCAGGCAAUGGGGGUGGCUUAAAGGCACUCUACAGUGUGCAGAUGCCUUCCACUUCUUCCAUCUGCCCUGUCUCUCCAAGAACCCCUAUGGCCCCGGUCUCAGAACAGAGCUGAGUGCAGAAAUGAAAAUCUAUGGCUCUGUGUUCCAAAACGAUGAAGAAUUUCAAGAUGGUGGCAGUGGUAAAAUCUUUCUCCAGGAAAAAUCUGUCCUUGGCCCAAUGUGUAAACACUUGCUGAGGAACUUGGAAUAACUUGCAGUGUCUUGCAGUAUUGUGAAACCAGCAACUUGUUCACAAUUCUUCUGAAUUUCUUGGGAAAUUUGAAGUGGAGUACCUGUACCAACAUGAAAUGACACGAAUUUAAGUGACGCUCAACAACGAAAAGCAAAAAGAACCAAAGAGGAAGCAACUGAAACAACAUCUGGAUGUAUUUAAAAAUAUACAAUGCCUCCAAAAUCAGGUGUCAUUAAUGAAAAUUCUGAAGAAAUGCCACCGGACAUAGCCAACGCACCUACGCUGUUGUUAUUCAUUUCCUGCUUUUCACAGAAAACAAUUUUGUUGCAUGGAAGAUCGUGAACUUCAAAGGGCAGAGGGGAAACUGUCCCUUGGCCUCUACCCCUCCAAGGCCCCACUUUUUUGUCAACACUCCUUGGACGCAGCAGAAGUAUGAACAUAAUAUGGUCCUGAAUGAGGCUGAGUCUUUGGGCGCAGAAGACCCGGGUUAAUAAAAAUAGGAAGAAUCAGAUGCUGCCCUUGUGGCCAGUUGGGUUCCCACCCACCUGAUUCUGGAGCCCUGGACCAGAGCCCUACGUUCACCAUGGGAAGAGACCUUGUGAUAAGCCACUCCUGAAGGCAUGGCCUAACUCUGGACACAGGUGGACAGUGGGUCACCACCAGGCUUGGCCACCACCCAGAUCCCCUUGGACCAGGAGAUCAAGGCUUCGUGCUCCAUCAAGGACAUGAAACAAAACAAUGGGGAGGAAUAAAACAGGAGACCUAAAAAAGUUAUGGGCUCUGGCCCAGUGUGGAGGGGCCAGAGGCUGACUGAAAAGCAGGCCCAGAGAGAGGAAGAAAUUCAUUCACCCAAGGUCACAGAGCUUUCAGCAGAGCUGGGACAGACCUCCUCUGACUCCCAGGCUGGGGCAGUUUCCUCCAGGGCUCCUCACCCAACCACGAGUUGUUCUUCGGUGACCCCAGGCACCUUCACAGCUCCAAACAUCACCACCAAGAGCUGCCUUGACUUUUCAGACGUCAUCGAGAACAAUAACAACAAAAAA